GCUCCUGGGAGGGCAAGAGUCCAAGAGUGGGUGGAGGGAGAAACAGCUCCUGUGCUGGUCAAAUGACCACCUCAUCUGACCCCACAGGGAGCUCAGGAGCGAGAUCGACCCUAGGUGUUGUCUGGCGGGGCCACCUGGGUCCGUUGCUGGAUACAGACCUGUAAGCAUCGGGUGAGGCAGCACCCAAAGGGACUGAGUUGAAAGCUGUGGGCUGACAGCACUCCCAGCAGCUAAGGGCAAGAUCUUUUAUGGCAGGGGAGCGGGGGAUGUGCCAGUCUUCCCCACAGCCACCCCUGCCCGCCAGGUGCUCAGUCACAUACAUUAAGACGGUUAAGAGAGCAGCUCUUUGGAGGUUCUGGGGAGUGUGGGGGAGCCUCCUCCUGGGGAUGUUUUUCUCUUUUUCCUUUUUUAGAGACAGGAUCCCACUUUGUCGCCCAGGCUGGAAUGCAGUGUUGCCAUCAUAGCUCACUGCAACCUCCAACUCCUGGCCUCAAGGGAUCCUCCUGCCUCAGCCUCCCAACUACUCGGGAGGCUGAGGUAGGAUGAUCACUUGAGCCCAGGAGUUUGACGCUGCAACGAGCUAUGAUUGCACCACUGCACUCCAGCCUGGGCGACAGAGUGAGACCUAGUCUUUAAAAGAAAAACAAUAAUAAUAAUAAUAAAAAAAAUAAAAUUAUUGGUUAACUAUAAAUGGGAAUGAAUAAUCUUACUGGGGUGAUGGAAAUGUUCUAAAUCUGUAUUGUGGUGAUGAUUAUACAAUUUGGUAAAUUUGUUAAAAAAUCAUUGAAUUGUACAGUUAAAAUGGGUGAGUUUUAUGGUGUAAAAGUUAUACCUCAGUUAAGUUACAAAUACACACCACAUUAGUUGUAAUGCUCUGUACAACCACAGAAUGUCAGCAAAGACAGCCAUGAAGGACUUUUUUCAUAAACCAAAUUUUCCAAUGAAAAUGCCACCAACCACUAGAUGUAGCUGCCUUUUCACGACAAGAAGGCCUUUGUUCUGGGUCUCAGGGACUUGAAGUUAUCAAACAUCAGGAAUAAGGAAAUAUUUGCAAGUAUCAGCUUAUUCAAAUCGAUCAUGACUGAGCCUGUCAAAUCAUUUUAUCCUUGGGUACAAUUUAAUAAGCAAUUGCUUUUCUGCUAAGAAAAAUAAGUGUCAAUAAAACUUUUCAAAUAACAUGGAAAAAUCUAAAGAAAAUAUAGCCUCUCCCUUCAUUACUUCAGUUCUUUCAAGAAUAUUUAAAUAAUAAACUGGGUUAUGGGACAGUAACCCUCCUAAUGUACACUGAAAACCACAACCUUUUCUAAGCCAGUGAUCAUUUCUGUUAACUUGGUGCGGCCCUGUUAGGUGGAGAAGGGCAGAGGAAACUCCUAUGGUGGAAAAUUUUCAGUCAGUCACAGUUUGGGCACAUUUAUAAAUAACGUAAGUAAAACAAAAUUUGCCCAAGUCAAGUCUUCAUGUGUCAAAAUCUUAAUCUAGUUACCAGAAUCAAAGUAGAUGUACCUGCCUUCAUCACAGGCCAGUUUCAGCCUAAGACUUUUUUUCUCUUAAAUGCUGGGCAAGCCUCAGAAUGGAUUAUUAAAAAUACUGAUGUUGAAGACAUUCUGAAAGACAAUUUUAUGGGUUCAUGACCUGAGUACUAAGAAUCUAGAAGCUGUGUUCACAGGGAUGAGGGAAAAAAUAAGAUCUGAUGAACUCUUCUCUGAAAUUAACAUUUCACUGUGAAUUUCAUCACAGUGUCACAAGUGUCAAGGUCAAUGUGGAGAAAACAGAGGUUUCCAAUCAAACAGAGGUCAAGUUACCUUGCCAAAGUGACACAGGGAGUUUUAACAGAAAAGCUAGGACCAGAACCCAGGUCUGGUGGCCGUCAGCCAUGGUUCCUCCAGCCAAGCCCACACCCACUGUUCAUUCUGCUCUUCACAGUGCCUGUAGCUUUGGGCUUUGUUGUUUUGUUUCUGUAGUUCUUUUUAUCCAGGAUGGAUUUUUGAGAACAUAGGUAAUCACUGUCUGACUCAUUUUAAAAAUCAAAGUCAUGAAACGGGUGUCUGGGAUCCUAAAUGCUCUAGAAGUAUUCAAGUAAUUGAUUGUAGUGAAAAUCCCUAAGAAACCACAGCUAAUCUCAAUGUCCUUUGGUGGGUAAAGUCUAUACCAGCUGUGGAAGAGUCCCCGUAGAUUGUCUGCUAAGCCCCUCCAGCAACCCAGUCUUCCUUCUCUAUUGUUACAUGGGAUGUUCCCUGUAUGAAAUCUUCUGCCCGUACUCCAACUUCCCCUCCCUGCCCUCCAAACUGCCACAAUCCUGUAUUCCUGGAGCAACAGCAACCCAACAUUUAAUGAUGUUAAGUCAGGUUACUUGACUAGAAAGACUAAUAGGUUAGGCAUGUUAUACCCUUGAUAAAGUAGAUUUGUCUUCUACCCUUCUAGGUCUAAACUCCAAUAAAAUCCAGGUGGGUUACAUCAAUUCAGACAUCUGGAUAAAAGGAUGAAUGAAACCAUGUACAUAAUACAGAACUAUGCAUGCCAGGAAAAGAAAUUAUACUGCCUAAAAGCUGCAACCUUCAUGACAUCAAAUCUAUUUUAACACUGGCUGGUUAUGUGAGGAAAAGGCUAAUAAAAAAAAAAAUUCUGGCUGACC
This is a long non-coding RNA of Macaca fascicularis (crab-eating macaque), 2632 nucleotides long. The record is from Ensembl. NCBI's taxonomy places the organism in Eukaryota, Metazoa, Chordata, Mammalia, Primates, Cercopithecidae.